UUAAUUGAAACCAAAUUAUGAGGUAAGUCACUGUUAAUGAUAUAAUUGAGAUCUCUCCAAUUAAA
RNAcentral lists this transfer RNA (65 nucleotides) under Sangariola fortunei. RNAcentral's name for it is "tRNA-Asn". The record is from RNAcentral. Lineage: Eukaryota; Metazoa; Arthropoda; Insecta; Coleoptera; Chrysomelidae.